CAGGGACAACUACAACUAGUUCAGGUCAAUCAGAGCUCCGUCCAUUCUGAAGUCAGCUUUGAAGUCAAUUUGGCAGCAGGCUUUGGAAAGGGGACUGUCAGAGUUCCUCACCAUCCCAUGCUGUUGUGAAGCUCUCUUGGUUUUGGAGUCUAAAUAGAAGCUUAACGCUUACUUUUGUGAGUGCUUUAUAAAGAGGUAAAUAGGUUGCAAAGGGCAGAGUGAAAGCCUGUCAGCAGCUGCUGAAAAGCAGAGCUUAUUUUAGCACCUGCCUGAAAAUACUUCUGGAGGGGAACACUUUCAAAGUCACAACAUACAACAGUGCCGCAGGUUACCAUCUGUUUAUGACAACACAAAUCCAAUAUGUCAUAAACAUGUUCUGGCCUUUACAGUUUUCCCAGCCUGAGAUGAAGACCGUACCUAUCCUACUGCUCUGUGGUUUUCUACAAAAGAUAAAUAUCUAGUUUAUUGUUUGGUGGUACUGUGGUUAAUUUGUCUCUGUGUAGAAGACUGGCCUAGGUUCCAUGUUUUCAGUGCAUUACAUUUAAUGGGAGCUGUGACAUUUUAAAAUGAAGUACAGAGGCUUAAUACUGGAAUCAACUUCUUGAUGUCCUGGUCCAUCUUACUUAUACCUGUGAUCUGAAAAUGACUGAAGUUUAUAGGUGUCUUUCCAUUGACCAAGUAGCUUUGACAAUACCUUUCUACCUAGAGUAGUCCUGUGAUCAUGACAUGGCUGCUUUUUGACAGCUGAAGAGCUGCUCUGUAUUGAGGUUGUCAACAUUCUCUUUGGAUUAACAUUAAUUAACUUAAGGCUGGUUUUGUUGGGCUCGCUCCAGGUCUUACUGACAGUAUUUUAUGUUGACUGUGUUUGUUAGGUUCUCUCUAUUGUUCCUUUUAAGUGUACGGUAAGUAUUUAGUCUGCAGGAGUGAUGUCCAACCUUUAUGACAGAGGAAUAAUGACUGUUGAUUUAGUAUGUUAAAAUGUACCCUGUUUGUCCCAUGUAACAUAUCAAAAUACAAUCAGAGGAAAGAAAGGAGCUCUUUCUCAUCAGAUAGAAAUUGAUUUGAAUCAUUUAUUUGAGGAAUAUAAAAUACAAUCAUUGACAAAGGAUCAGUAGUCUAGAGGCUAGGGCCCUAGGUCCAGUUUUUAGUUCAGAUACAGGUUUACCUGAGUUGAUUUUUGUCUUAGCACACAGGAAAAAUGUGCUUUUGUAAUUUGAAUCUGAUCUAAGUCAAGAUCUGAAUAAAAACAAGACAGCUUGUAAUUAUUAUAGAAGU
Molecule: long non-coding RNA, 1275 nt
Filed under: Numida meleagris (helmeted guineafowl)
Lineage: Eukaryota; Metazoa; Chordata; Aves; Galliformes; Numididae
Description: lncRNA (ENSNMEG00000019192.1)
Source: RNAcentral